GGCGGGAUAGCUCAGUUGGUUAGAGCGUCGGAUUCAUAAUCCGGAGGUCCCGGGAUCGUGGCCCGGUCCCGCUA
This 74-nucleotide transfer RNA is filed under the name Prevotellaceae bacterium. RNAcentral describes it as "tRNA-Met". It matches the Rfam family "tRNA". From Rfam's summary of the family: Transfer RNA (tRNA) molecules are approximately 80 nucleotides in length. Their secondary structure includes four short double-helical elements and three loops (D, anti-codon, and T loops). Lineage: Bacteria; Pseudomonadati; Bacteroidota; Bacteroidia; Bacteroidales; Prevotellaceae. The record is from RNAcentral.